Molecule: unclassified non-coding RNA, 1102 nt
Filed under: Hevea brasiliensis (rubber tree)
Lineage: Eukaryota; Viridiplantae; Streptophyta; Magnoliopsida; Malpighiales; Euphorbiaceae
Source: RNAcentral
AAAAACUUCAAAACAGCAAAAGGAAAAAAGGGAAAAAAAAAAGAAAUUCUCCGGCGGAAAUUACCGGCGAUUGACGAUGGCCUUGCCUGAAAAUUUAACCAGAGAGCAGUGUUUGUACUUGGCGAAGCUAGCUGAGCAAGCUGAACGAUAUGAGGAGAUGGUGAAGUUCAUGGACAAGCUCGUAAUCGGGUCGGGUUCAUCGGAGUUGACGGUGGAAGAGAGAAAUCUUCUUUCGGUGGCGUAUAAGAACGUUAUCGGUUCACUUCGAGCAGCGUGGAGGAUUGUAUCGUCAAUUGAGCAGAAGGAGGAGGGUAGGAAGAACGAUGAGCAUGUGGUUCUAGUGAAGGAUUACAGAUCUAAAGUUGAAUCUGAGCUUAGUGAUGUUUGUGCUGGAAUUCUGAAGAUUUUGGAUCAGUAUUUGAUUCCUUCAGCUUCUGCUGGUGAAUCCAAGGUGUUUUAUUUGAAGAUGAAAGGGGAUUAUUAUCGUUAUUUAGCUGAAUUCAAAGUUGGAAAUGAACGCAAGGAAGCUGCUGAGGAUACUAUGCUUGCCUACAAAGCUGCUCAGGACAUCGCUGUUGCGGAGCUUGCCCCAACACAUCCGAUACGACUUGGGUUGGCUCUCAACUUCUCGGUGUUCUACUAUGAGAUUCUGAAUGCAUCAGAAAAAGCAUGCAGCAUGGCUAAGCAGGCAUUUGAGGAAGCUAUUGCUGAACUGGACACUUUGGGUGAGGAAUCCUAUAAGGAUAGCACACUUAUCAUGCAGUUGUUAAGGGACAAUCUCACGCUCUGGACUUCCGAUAUGCAGGAGCAGAUGGACGAGGCUUGACAUGAUAGCGCUCCUCCAGGAGGGUGAGUUCAAAUGUCACAACAACAGUCUGUAAAAUCUACCUAUGCAAUUGAUAGCUUUUGUAAUUUUUAUAUGCCCUGCUUACUUUGAUGAUUUUCUUGUUCAAACUUCCGUUUGAUACUUCUUAUGAUUUUAAUUUUAUUUCUUUAGCUUCCCUUUUCGUUCACUCUCUUAUGUCUUGGAGUAUCUCCAAGUCUGAAACCCUUCUAAUUAUGCGUCUUUAGUUUGACUGAAUAUGAAGUUUAAGAAAGUAAA